RNAcentral lists this ribosomal RNA (465 nucleotides) under Vreelandella stevensii. RNAcentral describes it as "partial 16S ribosomal RNA". It matches the Rfam family "Bacterial small subunit ribosomal RNA", at positions 338 to 795 of the family's 1533-position model. The record is from RNAcentral. Lineage: Bacteria; Pseudomonadati; Pseudomonadota; Gammaproteobacteria; Oceanospirillales; Halomonadaceae.
CCUACGGGGGGCUGCAGUGGGGAAUAUUGGACAAUGGGGGGAACCCUGAUCCAGCCAUGCCGCGUGUGUGAAGAAGGCCCUCGGGUUGUAAAGCACUUUCAGUGAGGAAGAACGCCUGGUGGUUAAUACCCAUCAGGAAAGACAUCACUCACAGAAGAAGCACCGGCUAACUCCGUGCCAGCAGCCGCGGUAAUACGGAGGGUGCGAGCGUUAAUCGGAAUUACUGGGCGUAAAGCGCGCGUAGGUGGCUUGAUAAGCCGGUUGUGAAAGCCCCGGGCUCAACCUGGGAACGGCAUCCGGAACUGUCAAGCUAGAGUGCAGGAGAGGAAGGUAGAAUUCCCGGUGUAGCGGUGAAAUGCGUAGAGAUCGGGAGAAAUACCAGUGGCGAAGGCGGCCUUCUGGACUGACACUGACACUGAGGUGCGAAAGCGUGGGUAGCAAACAGGAUUAGAUACCCCAGUAGUC